Molecule: small nucleolar RNA, 122 nt
Filed under: Castor canadensis (American beaver)
Lineage: Eukaryota; Metazoa; Chordata; Mammalia; Rodentia; Castoridae
Description: Small nucleolar RNA SNORA31 (ENSCCNG00000004210.1)
Rfam family: Small nucleolar RNA SNORA31
About the family: ACA31 (SNORA31) belongs to the H/ACA class of snoRNAs which are thought to guide the sites of modification of uridines to pseudouridines.
Source: RNAcentral
UGGACACUAAUAGACCUUGAACAAUUUGCUGUUGUUCUUUUAGUUUGCACUGAGCUACAAAAUAAUCCCUGCACUUUCUGUCUGCCUUUGUGGCACUUCAGAUUGCAUUGGAGAAUACAACA